UACGUAGGGGGCGAGCGUUGUCCGGAUUUACUGGGCGUAAAGCGCGCGCAGGCGGCACUUCAAGUAAGGUGUGAAAUCUCCCUGCUCAACGGGGAGGGUGCACUUUAGACUGAGGAGCUAGAGGACGGUAGAGGGGGGUGGAAUUGCUGGUGUAGCGGUGAAAUGCGUAGAGAUCAGCAGGAACACCCGUGGCGAAGGCGGCCCCCUGGGCCGUACCUGACGCUGAGGCGCGAAGGCUAGGGGAGCGAACGGG
RNAcentral lists this ribosomal RNA (253 nucleotides) under uncultured bacterium. RNAcentral's name for it is "partial 16S ribosomal RNA". It matches the Rfam family "Bacterial small subunit ribosomal RNA", at positions 524 to 776 of the family's 1533-position model. The record is from RNAcentral.